CGGCGGACGGGUGAGUAACACGUGGGCAACCUGCCCUAUAGACUGGGAUAACUCGCGGAAACGCGUGCUAAUACCGGAUAAUACAAUGAAGUGCCUGCUUCAUUGUUGAAAGAUGGCUUUUGCUAUCACUAUAGGAUGGGCCCGCGGCGCAUUAGCUAGUUGGUGGGGUAACGGCCUACCAAGGCGACGAUGCGUAGCCGACCUGAGAGGGUGAUCGGCCACACUGGGACUGAGACACGGCCCAGACUCCUACGGGAGGCAGCAGUAGGGAAUCUUCCACAAUGGACGGAAGUCUGAUGGAGCAACGCCGCGUGAGCGAAGAAGGUCUUCGGAUCGUAAAGCUCUGUUGUAAGGGAAGAAUAAGUACAGUAGUAACUGGCUGUACCUUGACGGUACCUUACGAGAAAGCCACGGCUAACUACGUGCCAGCAGCCGCGGUAAUACGUAGGUGGCAAGCGUUGUCCGGAAUUAUUGGGCGUAAA
RNAcentral lists this ribosomal RNA (482 nucleotides) under uncultured bacterium. Its description in RNAcentral is "bacterial SSU rRNA". It matches the Rfam family "Bacterial small subunit ribosomal RNA", at positions 96 to 564 of the family's 1533-position model. The record is from RNAcentral.